RNAcentral lists this ribosomal RNA (253 nucleotides) under uncultured bacterium. RNAcentral describes it as "partial 16S ribosomal RNA". It matches the Rfam family "Bacterial small subunit ribosomal RNA", at positions 524 to 776 of the family's 1533-position model. The record is from RNAcentral.
UACGUAGGGUGCGAGCGUUAAUCGGAAUUACUGGGCGUAAAGUGUGCGCAGGCGGCUUCGCAAGUCGAGUGUGAAAUCCCCGAGCUUAACUUGGGAAUUGCGCUCGAAACUACGGAGCUGGAGUGUGGCAGAGGAAGGUGGAAUUCCACGUGUAGCGGUGAAGUGCGUAGAUAUGUGGAGGAAUACCGAUGGCGAAGGCAGCCCCCUGGGAUAACACUGACGCUCAUGCACGAAAGCGUGGGGAGCAAACAGG